GUCCACGCCGUAAACUAUGAAUACUAGCCGCUUGGCGCAUAAAAGUGCUGGGUGGCGUAGCUAACGCAAUAAGUAUUCCGCCUGGGGAGUACGGCCGCAAGGUUAAAACUCAAAGGAAUUGACGGGGGCCCGCACAAGCGGUGGAGCAUGUGGUUUAAUUCGAUGCAACGCGAAGAACCUUACCUACUCUUGACAUCCUUGGAAGCUCGUAGAGAUAUGAGUGUGCCGAAAGGAACCAAGUGACAGGUGCUGCAUGGCUGUCGU
RNAcentral lists this ribosomal RNA (264 nucleotides) under uncultured bacterium. RNAcentral's name for it is "partial 16S ribosomal RNA". It matches the Rfam family "Bacterial small subunit ribosomal RNA", at positions 793 to 1055 of the family's 1533-position model. The record is from RNAcentral.